AGUCGGGUCCUGUACAAUUUAGGAUCAUGAACUCCGCCAGGUCUGGAAGGAAGCAACGGUAAUGAACCCCUGAAUGUGUUACAGGGUGCCCGGCUAUC
Molecule: signal recognition particle RNA, 98 nt
Filed under: Desulfocapsa sulfexigens
Lineage: Bacteria; Pseudomonadati; Thermodesulfobacteriota; Desulfobulbia; Desulfobulbales; Desulfocapsaceae
Description: signal recognition particle sRNA small type
Rfam family: Bacterial small signal recognition particle RNA
About the family: The signal recognition particle (SRP) is a universally conserved ribonucleoprotein involved in the co-translational targeting of proteins to membranes. Archaeal SRP consists of a 7S RNA and homologues of the eukaryotic SRP19 and SRP54 proteins.
Source: RNAcentral